Molecule: long non-coding RNA, 357 nt
Organism: Sinocyclocheilus anshuiensis
Lineage: Eukaryota; Metazoa; Chordata; Actinopteri; Cypriniformes; Cyprinidae
Exons: 3
Source: RefSeq, a predicted model, not a curated record
GAUGCAACGUUCAGUUUGAGAAGUAACAUAUGAAGGGGUCAUUGAAGCAUUCGCUCAGCCGAUUCAUUCAGACGAUGGACUCAUUUGAGAACUAAUCACUGUGUUGCGAAGAGGCGCAACGGCUCUGCUGUGAAUUGGUUUGAAACUAGCCUAUUUUCGUCGACUAUAGAGCAAAAUCGGACAAUACUGUGUCUAAAAUCAGAACUACCACACAACAAUCACAAUUCACACUUGAAGGGAGAGGACAGUGAGAACACGAGGGAUCCAAAACCCUGCAGAGUGAAACAGCAUGAUACUGAAGAACAAAGAGAAUCACUCUAGGGCAGUGGUUCUCAACCGGGGGCCCACUAGGGAGCC